UUCGGGGUACACGAGCGGCGAACGGGUGAGUAACACGUGAGCAACCUGCCCCUGACUUCGGGAUAAGCGGUGGAAACGCCGUCUAAUACCGGAUACGACCUGUGGUCUCAUGAUCGCGGGUGGAAAGUUUCUCGGUUGGGGAUGGGCUCGCGGCCUAUCAGCUUGUUGGUGGGGUAACGGCCUACCAAGGCGAUUACGGGUAGCCGGCCUGAGAGGGCGACCGGCCACACUGGGACUGAGACACGGCCCAUACUCCUACGGGAGGCAGCAGUGGGGAAUAUUGCGCAAUGGGCGAAAGCCUGACGCAGCGACGCCGCGUGGGGGAUGACGGCCUUCGGGUUGUAAACCUCUUUUACCACCAACGCAGGCCCGGGGUUCUCUUCGGGUUGACGGUAGGUGGGGAAUAAGGACCGGCUAACUACGUGCCAGCAGCCGCGGUAAUACGUAGGGUCCGAGCGUUGUCCGGAAUUAUUGGGCGUAAAGAGCUCGUAGGCGGCGUGUCGCGUCUGCUGUGAAAGACCGGGGCUUAACUCCGGUUCUGCAGUGGAUACGGGCAUGCUAGAGGUAGGUAGGGGAGACUGGAAUUCCUGGUGUAGCGGUGAAAUGCGCAGAUAUCAGGAGGAACACCGGUGGCGAAGGCGGGUCUCUGGGCCUUACCUGACGCUGAGGAGCGAAAGCAUGGGGAGCGAACAGGAUUAGAUACCCUGGUAGUCCAUGCCGUAAACGUUGGGCGCUAGGUGUGGGGACUUUCCACGGUUUCCGCGCCGUAGCUAACGCAUU
RNAcentral lists this ribosomal RNA (780 nucleotides) under Nocardiopsis sp. NH6. RNAcentral's name for it is "bacterial SSU rRNA". It matches the Rfam family "Bacterial small subunit ribosomal RNA", at positions 81 to 861 of the family's 1533-position model. The record is from RNAcentral. Lineage: Bacteria; Bacillati; Actinomycetota; Actinomycetes; Streptosporangiales; Nocardiopsidaceae.